GCCAAAGAACCACAUUGCACUCUUCUCCUUAUCCUAGGUGUUUUGAGGAACAGAUCCCAGGUAAUUUGAGUAACUCUACCCAAUGGCCUCUCAAGGACUCACAGUAGACUGAGUCAAAGAGGAAAAGAUGUUGUGCCUUUGUAAGUUUCUAGACCCACAUGAAGGGGUCAUGGUCAUUCAAAUUCUUAGAGGGAAAAGAGAAAUCAGUUCUAAAAGAAAUCACACUGAACCAAUAGAGUCUUGGGGAUAGAGAUACCUUUACAAGAUACAAGGAUGUGGAUUUUUCUGAUUCCUGAAGACCUAUAGUAUGUGAAGUCUGAGACCACAAGAACCACAGAUGAAGAGAAUUUUUUUAGAAACAGAAGCACCUAGAGUUAUAGUUUCUAAGAAUAAUGAAAGAUUCCAGAGAUUCCAAAGUAUCAUGUAUUAUAAAUGAAGGAGAACAGAAAUUAACGUAAGCUUCAGCUGAAGCAAUGCAAGAUCAUAAAAGGGACCAUGGCAGAAAACAAGGGAGUCAAUGGACCCCACCAACAUGGAGAGGAAACCGUAGGAAUCAAAUAGUAUUCUGAGAGAGGAAAUCUGACAGUUCCUAAGCAAGAGGCAGAAGGAUGAGGGGGAGAUAUAAUAUGAAGAACAGAUAGAGAAUACCUAUUCCUGUUGGUCAAAACAGGGAUCAGCAGAAUCCUGGAACCUGGCUUCCUAUCAUCACAGAUUUAAAUAUGGGAAGGGCCUAAGAGAGCUUCUAAGUGCAAUUCGUUUUAGAGAAAAGGGAACUAAAGUCCAGAAAGGUAAAACCACCUACAUAGUAAGUAGUAGAGAUUCUAACCUAGUUACUUUGAUCUCAAAUUCCAUGUUUUCUUCAUGCCUCUCUAUCACUUCUGACCUAACAAAUAGGAGAGAAGGAAUGCACUGGAAAAACCCAACAUCCCCACCAGUUGGAUCCUUUAGAACACAAGUAUCACACAAUUUAUUUAUUUCCUUUCACUUUUUUUUUCACCUGGCGGGGGGAGAGGGGAGAAGGAGACUGAUGGCUACAUUUUUCAUUAUUCUAUCCAGUAAAUUACUGAUUUACCAUGUUGAUGGCAAUCAGAGAGGAGAGUUCUCAGGCAAGAUUAGUAAUGUGAGCUGGAAUAGCAAAAGAAGUAUUUGUAACUCAUAUAGUCACAGAGGUGAUUUCUAAUACAAGUACAUAAAAAGUCAAAGAAAAAUAGAAGACGUAGAUUCCAGUACUGACUUUAUCACUAACUAUGUGACCUUUGAAAGUCACAAUAUCUCUGUGACUCAGUUUACUGGUGUCUGCAAAAUAAAAAGACAACACUAGAUCUUGGUUCUCAUUUAUUGGCUCAUGGUGCUUCAUGUGAAUAGUCUAAGGGUUUUGUGCUAAAAAAAAGUAAAUAAUAGUAUAUAAUUGUAAAGAAUAUUAUGAGUAGCA
Molecule: long non-coding RNA, 1432 nt
Organism: Monodelphis domestica (gray short-tailed opossum)
Lineage: Eukaryota; Metazoa; Chordata; Mammalia; Didelphimorphia; Didelphidae
Source: RefSeq, a predicted model, not a curated record